This 456-nucleotide ribosomal RNA is filed under the name Campylobacter gracilis. RNAcentral describes it as "bacterial SSU rRNA". It matches the Rfam family "Bacterial small subunit ribosomal RNA", at positions 29 to 499 of the family's 1533-position model. The record is from RNAcentral. Lineage: Bacteria; Pseudomonadati; Campylobacterota; Epsilonproteobacteria; Campylobacterales; Campylobacteraceae.
AGUGAACGCUGGCGGCGUGCCUAAUACAUGCAAGUCGAACGGAAUUUAAAAGAGCUUGCUCUUUUGAAUUUGGUGGCGCACGGGUGAGUAAUAUAUAGCUAAUCUGCCCCUUGCUGGAGGACAACAGUUAGAAAUGACUGCUAAUACUCCAUACUCCUUUUUACCAUAAGAUAAAUCGGGAAAGAAUUUCGGCAAGGGAUGAGACUAUAUCGUAUCAGCUAGUCGGUGGGGUAACGGCCUACCGAGGCUAUGACGCGUAACUGGUCUGAGAGGAUGAUCAGUCACAUUGGAACUGAGACACGGUCCAAACUCCUACGGGAGGCAGCAGUAGGGAAUAUUGCGCAAUGGGGGAAACCCUGACGCAGCAACGCCGCGUGGAGGAUGACACUUUUCGGAGCGUAAACUCCUUUUGUUAGGGAAGAAUAAUGACGGUACCUAACGAAUAAGCACCGGUAA